This 501-nucleotide unclassified non-coding RNA is filed under the name Hevea brasiliensis (rubber tree). The record is from RNAcentral. Lineage: Eukaryota; Viridiplantae; Streptophyta; Magnoliopsida; Malpighiales; Euphorbiaceae.
UUUUCCACAACAAUAUUAUGAAAAUAUAUUUUAAUUGAGUACCUUCUUAUCUACAAGAUAUAAUUGAGUACCUAAUUGCUCAGAAUACACUUGAAUAUAACCAACAUUUAAAGAGAAACUAUUUAUAGCAUCAUAUCUUUCCACAUACAAAAAAGCCUCAAUGCCGGCUGUCAUCGAUGGGCUAAGAUGACGGACAUUGCAGUGCACCAAAAGACACCUCUGAGACUACCUUGGCUCCCCUUCCCUUGGCCAUGUACAGGCCUAUGUGAUGCAUCAGCUCCUGUGGAUGUGCUAUAACAUCUUUGGCAGCUCUGGCAACAUGAAGUGGCAGGUCAAAGGUUGCACAAGCUUGAGAGAACACAAUCACGUCCUCUAGAGGAGCAAGAAAACCCCUAUUUCUAGCAGAUAGUGCUGAACAAACAAAAUCCAGCACGCAUAUAUCCGUGCAUAUCCCUACUACCAGUAUAAUUUUAAUCUGAUUAUUCUUUAUCCAAUCUACAA